RNAcentral lists this ribosomal RNA (406 nucleotides) under Fusobacterium sp. oral taxon H27. Its description in RNAcentral is "bacterial SSU rRNA". It matches the Rfam family "Bacterial small subunit ribosomal RNA", at positions 28 to 431 of the family's 1533-position model. Lineage: Bacteria; Fusobacteriati; Fusobacteriota; Fusobacteriia; Fusobacteriales; Fusobacteriaceae. The record is from RNAcentral.
GAUGAACGCUGACAGAAUGCUUAACACAUGCAAGUCAACUUGAAUUUGGGUUUUUAACUUAGAUUUGGGUGGCGGACGGGUGAGUAACGCGUAAAGAACUUGCCUCACAGCUAGGGACAACAUUUAGAAAUGAAUGCUAAUACCUGAUAUUAUGGUUAUAGGGCAUCCUAUAAUUAUGAAAGCUAUAAGCACUGUGAGAGAGCUUUGCGUCCCAUUAGCUAGUUGGAGAGGUAACAGCUCACCAAGGCGAUGAUGGGUAGCCGGCCUGAGAGGGUGAACGGCCACAAGGGGACUGAGACACGGCCCUUACUCCUACGGGAGGCAGCAGUGGGGAAUAUUGGACAAUGGACCGAGAGUCUGAUCCAGCAAUUCUGUGUGCACGAUGAAGUUUUUCGGAAUGUAAAGU